GCUUGUCUCAAAGAUUAAGCCAUGCAUGUCUAAGUACAAGCCUCAGUAAGGUGAAACCGCGAAUGGCUCAUUAAAUCACACCUAAUCUACUGGAAAGUUACUAGUUACUUGGAUAACUGAGGUAAUUCUUGAGCUAAUACAUGCGAAAAGACGCGACUCACGAAGCGUUGUAUUUAUUAGAUACAAAACCAAUGCGGGGCAACCCGGUAUAAGGUGAUUCAUAAUAACUUUGCGAAUCGCAUGGCCUUGCGCCGGCGAUGAAUCAUUCAAAUUUCUGCCCUAUCAACUUUCGAUGGUAAGGUAUUGGCUUACCAUGGUCGCAACGGGUAACGGGGAAUAAGGGUUCGGUUCCGGAGAGGGAGCCUGAGAAAUGGCUACCACAUCCAAGGAAGGCAGCAGG
This 400-nucleotide ribosomal RNA is filed under the name uncultured Salpingoecidae. RNAcentral describes it as "partial small subunit ribosomal RNA". It matches the Rfam family "Eukaryotic small subunit ribosomal RNA", at positions 30 to 432 of the family's 1831-position model. Lineage: Eukaryota; Choanoflagellata; Craspedida; Salpingoecidae. The record is from RNAcentral.